RNAcentral lists this unclassified non-coding RNA (241 nucleotides) under uncultured fungus. RNAcentral's name for it is "partial contains 5.8S ribosomal RNA, internal transcribed spacer 2, and large subunit ribosomal RNA". The record is from RNAcentral. Lineage: Eukaryota; Fungi.
AACGCACAUUGCGCCCCCUGGCAUUCCGGGGGGCAUGCCUGUUCGAGCGUCAUUACAACCCUCACGCCCAGCGUGGUAUUGGGCUCCGCCUUCGAGGCGGGCCUCAAAGUCAGUGGCGGCACUGCCGGACCCUAAGCGUAGUACUACUCGUCGCUUGUUGGGCUUCCGGCAGCAGCCUGCCAGCAACCCCCAUUUUUUCAAGGUUGACCUCGGAUCAGGUAGGGAUACCCGCUGAACUUAA